UACAGAGGGGGCAAGCGUUGUUCGGAAUUACUGGGCGUAAAGGGCGCGUAGGCGGCCUUCUAAGUCGAACGUGAAAUCCCUGGGCUCAACCCAGGAACUGCGUCCGAUACUGGAAGGCUUGAAUCCGGGAGAGGGAUGUGGAAUUCCAGGUGUAGCGGUGAAAUGCGUAGAUAUCUGGAGGAACACCGGUGGCGAAGGCGACAUCCUGGACCGGUAUUGACGCUGAGGCGCGAAAGCCAGGGGAGCGAACAGG
RNAcentral lists this ribosomal RNA (253 nucleotides) under uncultured bacterium. RNAcentral describes it as "partial 16S ribosomal RNA". It matches the Rfam family "Bacterial small subunit ribosomal RNA", at positions 524 to 776 of the family's 1533-position model. The record is from RNAcentral.